UUUCCCCUGCCAUGUACGUGCUGGGAAAGCUUUUCUGAGCCAACGUCAGAAGAGAAGGGAGCGCAAAGGAGUUGUGGUGAGCAUGCCUCUGGUAAGAGGAAGCCUAAAGCAACUCUGGCGGCACCCACCUGGUUUACCAGGUUCACGAAUCCUUUCCCACACGGCAUUAAGGCGGGGGAUUU
RNAcentral lists this non-coding RNA (182 nucleotides) under Nitrospinota bacterium. RNAcentral describes it as "Nitrospinae bacterium 6S RNA". It matches the Rfam family "6S / SsrS RNA". Rfam says of the family: E. coli 6S RNA was the first non coding RNA to be sequenced, but its function was unknown until recently. The record is from RNAcentral. Lineage: Bacteria; Pseudomonadati; Nitrospinota.